RNAcentral lists this ribosomal RNA (517 nucleotides) under uncultured bacterium. Its description in RNAcentral is "bacterial SSU rRNA". It matches the Rfam family "Bacterial small subunit ribosomal RNA", at positions 15 to 518 of the family's 1533-position model. The record is from RNAcentral.
GAUCCUGGCUCAGAUUGAACGCUGGCGGCGUGCUUAACACAUGCAAGUCGCGCGUGAAAGGACUUCGGUCCGAGUAAAGCGGCGCACGGGUGAGUAACGCGUGGAUGAUCUACCCAUGAGUUAGGAAUAACGGCUGGAAACGUCGCUAAUACCAAAUACGCUCCGAUUUCAACUUCGGGGGAAAGGUGGCCUCUGCUUGCAAGCUACUGCUCAUGGAUGAGUCCGCGUCCCAUUAGCUAGUUGGUGGGGUAACGGCCCACCAAGGCGACGAUGGGUAGCCGGUCUGAGAGGAUGACCGGCCACACUGGGACUGGAACACGGCCCAGACUCCUACGGGAGGCAGCAGUGGGGAAUAUUGCGCAAUGGGCGAAAGCCUGACGCAGCGACGCCGCGUGAGGGAUGAAGGUCCUCGGAUCGUAAACCUCUGUCAGGAGGGAAGAACCGCCACGGUGCUAAUCAGCCGUGGUCUGACGGUACCUCCAAAGGAAGCACCGGCUAACUCCGUGCCAGCAGCCGC